GGAGAGGUGGCCGAGUGGUUGAAGGCGCUCGUCUCGAAAACGAGUAAACGCAAGUUUCGCGGGUUCGAAUCCCGCCCUCUCCCCCC
Molecule: transfer RNA, 86 nt
Filed under: Chloroflexota bacterium
Lineage: Bacteria; Bacillati; Chloroflexota
Description: Chloroflexi bacterium tRNA-Ser
Rfam family: tRNA
About the family: Transfer RNA (tRNA) molecules are approximately 80 nucleotides in length. Their secondary structure includes four short double-helical elements and three loops (D, anti-codon, and T loops).
Source: RNAcentral